CGUAGGGUGCGAGCGUUAAUCGGAAUUACUGGGCGUAAAGCGUGCGCAGGCGGUUUAGUAAGACAGGCGUGAAAUCCCCGGGCUCAACCUGGGAACUGCGCUGUGACUGCUAAGCUAGAGUACGGCAGAGGGGGGUGGAAUUCCACGUGUAGCAGUGAAAUGCGUAGAGAUGUGGAGGAACACCAAUGGCGAAGGCAGCCCCCUGGGUCGAUACUGACGCUCAUGCACGAAAGCGUGGGUAGCAAACAGGAUUAGAUACCCUGGUAGUCCACGCCCUAAACGAUGUCAACUAGGUGUUGGGAGGGUAAAACCUUUUAGUACCGGAGCUAACGCGUGAAGUUGACCGCCUGGGGAGUACGGCCGCAAGGUUA
This 371-nucleotide ribosomal RNA is filed under the name uncultured organism. RNAcentral describes it as "bacterial SSU rRNA". It matches the Rfam family "Bacterial small subunit ribosomal RNA", at positions 526 to 896 of the family's 1533-position model. The record is from RNAcentral.